GAAUGCUGACAUAAGUAACGAUAAAGCGGGUGAAAAGCCCGCUCGCCGGAAGACCAAGGGUUCCUGUCCAACGUUAAUCGGGGCAGGGUGAGUCGACCCCUAAGGCGAGGCCGAAAGGCGUAGUCGAUGGGAAACGGGUUAAUAUUCCCGUACUUGGUGUUACUGCGAAGGGGGGACGGAGAAGGCUAUGUUGGCCGGGCGACGGUUGUCCCGGUUUAAGCGUGUAGGUGUGUGUUCCAGGUAA
Molecule: ribosomal RNA, 244 nt
Filed under: Salmonella enterica subsp. enterica serovar Infantis
Lineage: Bacteria; Pseudomonadati; Pseudomonadota; Gammaproteobacteria; Enterobacterales; Enterobacteriaceae
Also listed under: 4 other names
Description: partial 23S ribosomal RNA
Rfam family: Bacterial large subunit ribosomal RNA
Source: RNAcentral